RNAcentral lists this ribosomal RNA (347 nucleotides) under uncultured Anoxybacillus sp. RNAcentral describes it as "bacterial SSU rRNA". It matches the Rfam family "Bacterial small subunit ribosomal RNA", at positions 1032 to 1374 of the family's 1533-position model. The record is from RNAcentral. Lineage: Bacteria; Bacillati; Bacillota; Bacilli; Caryophanales; Anoxybacillaceae.
UGACAGGUGGUGCAUGGUUGUCGUCAGCUCGUGUCGUGAGAUGUUGGUUAAGUCCCGCAACGAGCGCAACCCUCGACCUUAGUUGCCAGCAUUCAGUUGGGCACUCUAAGGUGACUGCCGGCUAAAAGUCGGAGGAAGGUGGGGAUGACGUCAAAUCAUCAUGCCCCUUAUGACCUGGGCUACACACGUGCUACAAUGGGCGGUACAAAGGGUCGCGAACCCGCGAGGGGGAGCCAAUCCCAAAAAGCCGCUCUCAGUUCGGAUUGCAGGCUGCAACUCGCCUGCAUGAAGCCGGAAUCGCUAGUAAUCGCGGAUCAGCAUGCCCGCGUCGAAUACGUUCCGGCCUU